Molecule: ribosomal RNA, 404 nt
Filed under: Fusobacteriota bacterium
Lineage: Bacteria; Fusobacteriati; Fusobacteriota
Description: Fusobacteria bacterium partial 16S ribosomal RNA
Rfam family: Bacterial small subunit ribosomal RNA
Source: RNAcentral
UGGGGAAUAUUGCACAAUGGAGGGAACUCUGAUGCAGCGACGCCGCGUGAGUGAUGAAGGAAUUCGUUUCGUAAAACUCUGUUCUAUGGGAAGAAAAGGACUGUACCAUAGGAGAAAGCUCCGGCUAAAUACGUGCCAGCAGCCGCGGUAAUACGUAUGGAGCGAGCGUUGUCCGGAAUUAUUGGGCGUAAAGGGUGCGCAGGCGGCUUUACAAGUUGGAUGUGAAAUAUUGUGGCUCAACCACAAACGUGCAUCCAAAACUGCAAAGCUUGAGUUAAGGAGAUGUAAGUGGAAUUCCUGGUGUAGCGGUGGAAUGCGUAGAUAUCAGGAGGAAUACCGGUGGCGAAGGCGACUUACUGGACUUAAACUGACGCUCAGGCACGAAAGCGUGGGGAGCAAACAGG